This 760-nucleotide ribosomal RNA is filed under the name uncultured Prevotella sp. Its description in RNAcentral is "bacterial SSU rRNA". It matches the Rfam family "Bacterial small subunit ribosomal RNA", at positions 28 to 776 of the family's 1533-position model. The record is from RNAcentral. Lineage: Bacteria; Pseudomonadati; Bacteroidota; Bacteroidia; Bacteroidales; Prevotellaceae.
GAUGAACGCUGGCUACAGGCUUAACACAUGCAAGUCGAGGGGAAACGACGGGGAAGCUUGCUUCCCCGGGCGUCGACCGGCGCACGGGUGAGUAACGCGUAUCCAACCUGCCUCUGACUGAGGGAUAACCCGUCGAAAGUCGGCCUAAUACCUCAUGGUAUCGUCUGCGGGCAUCCAACGACGAUUAAAGAUUUCAUCGGUCAGGGAUGGGGAUGCGUCUGAUUAGCUUGUUGGCGGGGUAACGGCCCACCAAGGCUACGAUCAGUAGGGGUUCUGAGAGGAAGGUCCCCCACAUUGGAACUGAGACACGGUCCAAACUCCUACGGGAGGCAGCAGUGAGGAAUAUUGGUCAAUGGGCGAGAGCCUGAACCAGCCAAGUAGCGUGCAGGAAGACGGCCCUAUGGGUUGUAAACUGCUUUUAUGCGGGGAUAAAGUGAGGGACGUGUCCCUCAUUGCAGGUACCGCAUGAAUAAGGACCGGCUAAUUCCAUGCCAGCAGCCGCGGUAAUACGGAAGGUCCUGGCGUUAUCCGGAUUUAUUGGGUUUAAAGGGAGCGUAGGCCGUGGAUUAAGCGUGUUGUGAAAUGCAGGUGCUCAACGUCUGCACUGCAGCGCGAACUGGUCCACUUGAGUGUGCGCAACGCAGGCGGAAUUCGUCGUGUAGCGGUGAAAUGCUUAGAUAUGACGAAGAACUCCGAUUGCGAAGGCAGCUUGCGGGAGCACAACUGACACUGAAGCUCGAAAGUGCGGGUAUCGAACAGG